Molecule: ribosomal RNA, 273 nt
Filed under: uncultured Micrococcales bacterium
Lineage: Bacteria; Bacillati; Actinomycetota; Actinomycetes; Micrococcales
Description: partial 16S ribosomal RNA
Rfam family: Bacterial small subunit ribosomal RNA
Source: RNAcentral
UACGUAGGGUGCGAGCGUUGUCCGGAAUUAUUGGGCGUAAAGAGCUUGUAGGCGGUUUGUCGCGUCUGCUGUGAAAAUUCAGGGCUUAACCCUGGACGUGCAGUGGGUACGGGCAGACUAGAGUGUGGUAGGGGAGACUGGAAUUCCUGGUGUAGCGGUGGAAUGCGCAGAUAUCAGGAGGAACACCGAUGGCGAAGGCAGGUCUCUGGGCCAUUACUGACGCUGAGAAGCGAAAGCAUGGGGAGCGAACAGGAUUAGAUACCCGUGUAGUCC